Molecule: long non-coding RNA, 238 nt
Organism: Biomphalaria glabrata
Lineage: Eukaryota; Metazoa; Mollusca; Gastropoda; Planorbidae
Exons: 3
Source: RefSeq, a predicted model, not a curated record
GAUCUAGAUCUCUUGUAUAAUAUCUAGAAUAAUAUAGAUCUACAACACCUAGGCCUAGACUAAAGUUAAAGACUAAGUCAAUAUAGUCAAGUCAAGGUAGUGGAACGUAAACUCGAAGGUUUAAUACAAUAUGUUAUUAACAAGUAGAACCAUGGCAACCAGUUCUGAUGAUGUACCAGAAUGGCUCAAGGAUCAUACUUAUACUAUUUCUACUCUCAAUAUUUAAUGUAAGUACUAC